This is an RNA transcript of Vidua macroura (Pin-tailed whydah), 1586 nucleotides long. It is a transcript of the gene named coiled-coil domain containing 201, with no coding region annotated. The record is from RefSeq and is a predicted model, not a curated record. Lineage: Eukaryota; Metazoa; Chordata; Aves; Passeriformes; Viduidae. The transcript is spliced from 5 exons.
GCAUUCUGGUAAGACAAGAGUGUAAUGAAGAGGAAUCAUUGGUGCAAUUACAAAGGCAGUGGCAAUAAACCUGACUUCAAGAUGUCAGAGGAAGAUGAUUCUUUUCUGAAUGUUAAAAGAUCUCUUAAAAAGAGAAUGGUGAAACACAGCACCCCAGUGGACUCAAUGCUUUCAAGAACAAUUCCAUCUUUUACAGAUCUGACAAAUCAGUCAAUCAAGGACCAAGAUGCCACAAAGAAAGUUUAUGGCUCUCCAAUGCCAAAAUCAAAUCUAAGCAGAUCGUUAUCUCAAGUAUCAUUAGUACAUGUUGAUGUACACAUUCCUCCUAUGUCCCCAAAAAAGCUUUCAACAGCAUUUGAUUUGCAAGAACUAAUUAAAGAGAAAAGCCAAAGCUCUCGGAUUGUAUUUUCUAGAAGGAGGCUUUCCACUGUGUUGGCCUCUGAUGAAUCAAAUCAAGAGCCAGCUCACAAGAUUGUCCCAAACAUAGAAACUCAAGCUACCACCAGAGCAUUUGUGGAUGAUGCAGGAACUCCUAAGAGUGGGCCCUCAUGGUUUGUUUCUGGAAUACCAGGGAUAAAAGAUCCCCUGGUAGCAAAAUCAAGAAAGAAGAAAAGUGAUAAAACUCUUCAGAGAAAGAAAGAAAGAGAGUGGCUGCUUCGUCAGCUUAAAAACAUUGAGGAGGCAACUAAACAUGAACUGACAAUUGAAGAAGCUUGAUUGGGCUACCUGUGGGAUAAGUGCUAGCACAUCUGUCAUGUGGGAAUGCAGAAAUGGAAAGAAGAAAGGGGAAGAAUAAUCUUCAUAUUUUUUCUGCUUCUUACUGUUGCUGCCAUUUUGAUCCCUUUUGUUGUCCUCCACUUCAUACUUUUGGCCUUUCCUAGCUCUACAUGUCCUACUGUAACUGUCUUCUGCUUUCAGCUCUUCAUGUCAUUGCAGGUUUUUCUUCUAGUCAGAGAAGAGGAGGAGGUGAGAACAUGUGAAGGAAACAACAUGGCAACACCAAGGUCAGUGGAGAAGGAGGGGGAGGAGGUAUUCCAAGCACUGGAGCCAAGAAUCCUCUGCAGGCCAUGCUGAUUGAUGACCAUGGUGAAGCAGCUGUGACCCUGCAGUCCAUGGGGAUCCACAGGGGAUGCAGAGAUUCAUUCAUGUCCCGUGGGGGAGAUGCCCACCCUGGAGCAGGUGGAUGCCUGGAGGAGGCUGUGAUCCAGUGGAAGACCUGGUGGAGAGAGGAGGUCCCUGCUUCCAGGCUGGAGCAGCCUGUCCUUGGAGGACUGCACCCCGUGGAAGACUGACCCAUGCCGCAGGAGUUUUGGGAGAACUGUUUGCCUGUGGGAGGGACUUACGUUGCAGCAUGUGAGGUAGGCUGCUUCUCCUGAGAGUGGACCCACAUUGAAGAAGUUCAUGGAGAGCAGUCUCCUAUGAGAGGGACCCCACAGUCUCACAGGGGAAGGACCCCUCUCCCUGAUCAAUGGAAGAUGAUCUCAGGGGACAAACCAACAAAAAACCCACCCUCUGUCUUCCUGUGUAGUCAGUGGGAAGGAGGGAGGGGCGGGGGAAGAAAUGGUGUUGUUAAGGGCUUAUUUUAC